CAGCAGGCCGCUUAGGGUUCCGUCCGCAAACGCGGAGACUGGUCCGAGAAGCGGCACCCGCGUGGCAAAUUCCGCGACGGGCACACGGCGGGGCAAAAUCCCGGGAGAC
This 109-nucleotide small RNA is filed under the name Roseovarius sp. Its description in RNAcentral is "Guanidine-I sequence". It matches the Rfam family "Guanidine-I riboswitch aptamer". From Rfam's summary of the family: This family represents a conserved RNA structure found upstream of the ykkC and yxkD genes in Bacillus subtilis and related genes in other bacteria. The function of this family is unclear although it has been suggested that it may function to switch on efflux pumps and detoxification systems in response to harmful environmental molecules. The record is from RNAcentral. Lineage: Bacteria; Pseudomonadati; Pseudomonadota; Alphaproteobacteria; Rhodobacterales; Roseobacteraceae.